GGUGGUCUCUACAUCCUUAAUAAAUGUGAACUAUGAUUUAUUGCUUGCUCUAGUACCUUAACUCCUCUUGAAGUUUAUUAUAGAUUGGGCAAUCCUUCGUUAUUACCUUGAAGAAAUUAUGUCAUUAGUUUUAGUCUUUGUCAGUACUAGAAUGUGAGUCAUGUCAGUUUGCUAAGCAUCAUUGUUUACCUUCUGUGCCUAGAGUUAAUAAACGGGCUUGUCCCCUUUUAAACUAGUUCAUUCUGAUAUUUGGGGUCCAUGUUCCAUUACUUCUAAACUUGGAUUAAGAUAUUUUGUUACUUUUGUGGAU
This 310-nucleotide unclassified non-coding RNA is filed under the name Hevea brasiliensis (rubber tree). Lineage: Eukaryota; Viridiplantae; Streptophyta; Magnoliopsida; Malpighiales; Euphorbiaceae. The record is from RNAcentral.